RNAcentral lists this ribosomal RNA (253 nucleotides) under uncultured bacterium. RNAcentral describes it as "partial 16S ribosomal RNA". It matches the Rfam family "Bacterial small subunit ribosomal RNA", at positions 524 to 776 of the family's 1533-position model. The record is from RNAcentral.
UACAGAGGUCUCAAGCGUUGUUCGGAUUCAUUGGGCGUAAAGGGUGUGUAGGUGGCGCGCUAAGUCGGGUGUGAAAUUUCGGAGCUUAACUCCGAAACUGCAUUCGAUACUGGCGUGCUUGAGGACUGGAGAGGAGACUGGAAUUCCUGGUGUAGCGGUGAAAUGCGUAGAUAUCUGGAGGAACACCGGUGGCGAAGGCGGCAUCCUGGACCGGUAUUGACGCUGAGGAGCGAAAGCGUGGGGAGCGAACAGG